GUAACGAUAAUGCGGGAGAGUAACCCGCACACCGCAAGACCAAGGUUUCCUGAUCAACGCUAAUCGGAUCAGGGUUAGUCGGGUCCUAAGGGUAAGCCGAACGGUGAUCUCGAUGGACAAUCGGUUAAUAUUCCGAUACUAACAUACACCUCGAUGGAGAGACGAAGGAACGUAAGUGUCGCCACCUGACGGAAUAGGUGGUUAAAGGGCGUAGGUAAAGGAGCAGAUUAAGAGUUAGCUACUGCUGAGACCCGACAGUACGGAGCGGCUACGGCCAAUCCGAUAGUGCACCCAAGUAGACUUCCGAGAAAAUCUUCUAAGUUACAGUGUAUGUUACCCGUACCGUAAACCGACACAGGUGGUCGAGGAGAGUAUCCUAAGGUGCUCGAGUGAAUCACGGUUAAGGAACUAGGCAAAUUAACCCCGUAACUUCGGGAAAAGGGGUCCCUAUGAAAGUAGGGCGCAGCGAAAAGGUCCAGGCGACUGUUUAUCAAAAACACAGGGCUCUGCAAAUUCGAAAGAAGACGUAUAGGGCCUGACACCUGCCCGGUGCUGGAAGGUUAAGAGGGGAUGUCAUCGCAAGAGAAGCAUUGAAUCGAAGCCCCAGUAAACGGCGGCCGUAACUAUAACGGUCCUAAGGUAGCGAAAUUCCUUGUCGGGUAAGUUCCGACCUGCACGAAUGGUGUAACGAUCUGGACACUGUCUCAACCGUGAGCUCGGUGAAAUUGUAGUCCCGGUGA
RNAcentral lists this ribosomal RNA (740 nucleotides) under human gut metagenome. Its description in RNAcentral is "bacterial LSU rRNA". It matches the Rfam family "Bacterial large subunit ribosomal RNA", at positions 1306 to 2056 of the family's 2925-position model. The record is from RNAcentral.